Molecule: long non-coding RNA, 813 nt
Filed under: Capsella rubella
Lineage: Eukaryota; Viridiplantae; Streptophyta; Magnoliopsida; Brassicales; Brassicaceae
Description: long non-coding RNA (CRUB_LNC001253)
Source: RNAcentral
AUACAUUUAUAUAUAGCUUCGCUUAGAUGUUCUUUGUGAGUGGGUUUGGAACCAUAUCGAACUCAGAAGACCCUGCAACAUAUUAAAAAGCCAUAUGAAUUGACUACUACAAAAGACUACAAAUAGGUAUAUUACGUUAUCAUUUCUUUGAUAUAAUUCUAAACGUAAGCUAUAGUCUAAAUUAUAAGUACUCCAAUGUCUAUGUAUGUGGAGUAGUUUUUGCAAUGGUAAGGACAAGAGACAUGGAACAUGCUAUCAUUAUGUGGGACUUUGAUUUUUCUUGGCUAAAAGACAGAUAAAAAGAUGGAUGCAAGCUUUUCAUAAGGAAAUAGUUUUUUUUGGUUGAAUAAAUAGGAAAUAGCUUUUUUGGUUGAAUAAAUAUAAGAGAUAAUGGCUUAUGAUCAGUUUUUCAAGAACUCGACAAAACUAACUCUUGUAUUCUCUGUUACAAGAUUGUUUUUGGCCCCACAUUUAGAAGUUGGGACAGUUCAUAGAUAUGGAAAACAGUGGUGUGUACUAUAUAGAUCAUUAAGUAAGAAGACAUCUACACAUAAAGAAACGUGUGGAGGCUGCAUGUCUAUUUAUGAAUGCUUUCUUAUGCAUAAUUGUUGUGUUUACCUUUUAGAGUUCCUUAAAUACUUUCAGUGGUUGUUUCCAUUUGAAUAGUAAUUGGGAUGUGGAUAACGCCCUGACUCAAUGUCAUUGACAUCCCUAAUGAGGAGCUCAUAGUGUCGCCUUACUUCUUCGGCUGACUUGCCACCAACUGCUCUGGCGACGUUAUGCCAACGGUCAGGAGUGUCCUGGUCAUAUAUU